RNAcentral lists this ribosomal RNA (254 nucleotides) under uncultured bacterium. Its description in RNAcentral is "partial 16S ribosomal RNA". It matches the Rfam family "Bacterial small subunit ribosomal RNA", at positions 524 to 776 of the family's 1533-position model. The record is from RNAcentral.
UACGUAGGGUGCGAGCGUUGUCCGGAAUUAUUGGGCGUAAAGAGCUCGUAGGCGGUGUGUCGCGUCGGUCGUGAAAACUUGGGGCUUAACCCUGAGCUUGCGGUCGAUACGGGCAUCACUUGAGUUCGGCAGGGGAGACUGGAACUCCUGGUGUAGCGGUGAAAUGCGCAGAUAUCAGGAAGAACACCGGUGGCGAAGGCGGGUCUCUGGGCCGAUACUGACGCUGAGGAGCGAAAGCGUGGGGAGCGAACAGG